Pan troglodytes (chimpanzee) is the source of this 1532-nucleotide long non-coding RNA. RefSeq lists it as uncharacterized. The record is from RefSeq and is a predicted model, not a curated record. Lineage: Eukaryota; Metazoa; Chordata; Mammalia; Primates; Hominidae. The transcript has 3 exons.
AAGCACUGAGAACUGAACUUAGAAUAGAAGAGCACUCUAAAUAGAGAGAAGAGAGGAGAUUGUUGAGGCAGAUGGAAAGCAUCACAGGAGAAGUGUGUGGCCCUCGCCUGUGGAGGUGAAGCUCCAGCAAGGCUCCAUCUUGAGUUUUUUAAAAUUUUGAGUAGUAAAGUGAUUCACUAGAUGGAUUGCUAAAAGCAGUUCCCAUUUUAUGUUUUCUUUCUUUGGUAUUCCCAAAAUGCAAAAAAAGUAUGUCUUAGGGCCGAUAUCCCCUUUUGAAAUUACAUCGUUAGGAUUUCUGCCAUCUUUGGAACCAGAUGUACCCAAACUUCAGCCACCCCUCAUGACCUCAGCCACUCUGGCCUGCGUCACAAUAAUCUCCAUCUGGACUCCUGACGAAUGUGCAGACUCCCUUCUCAACACUGGCCAGGAAAAGAGAUCAUGGGAAGGCAUAUCAGGGACGGAGCCCACGCUUCAGGGCCAUUCUGCUGGGCUUUCCUACAGUGACCUCACCAUCACCACCACCAACGACACUACAGCCCUGACCUCACCAUCACCACCACCAAUGACAACACUACAGCCCUGACCUCACCAUCACCACCAACAACAACGACAUCACAGCCCCGACCUCACCAUCACCACCACCAAUGACAACGACAUCACAGCCCCGACCUCAUCAUCACCACCACCAAUGACAACGACAUCACAGCCCUGACCUCACCAUCACCACCACCAACGACAAUGACAUCACAGCUCCGACCUCACGAUCACCACCACCAAUGACGAUGCUACAGCCCCGACCUCACCAUCGCCACCACCAAUGACAAUGACAUCACAGCCCCGACCUCACCAUCACCACCAAUGACAAUGACAUCACAGCCCUGACCUCACCAUCACCACCACCAAUGACAAUGACAUCACAGCCCCGACAUCACCAUCACCACCAAUGAUGACGCUACAGCCCUGACCUCACCAUCACCACCACCAACGACAACGACAUCACAGCUCCGACCUCACGAUCACCACCACCAAUGACGAUGCUACAGCCCUGACCUCACCAUCACCACCACCAAUGAUGACACUAUAGCCCUGACCUUACCAUCACCACCGCCAAUGACAAUGACAUCCCAGCCCCGACCUCACCAUCACCACCACCAAUGACAAUGACAUCACAGCCCCGACCUCACCAUCACCACCACCAAUGACGAUGCUACAGCCCCGAUCUCACCAUCACCACCACCAAUGACAACGACAUAACAGCCCUGACCUCACCAUCACCACCAAUGACAACGACAUCACAGCCCCGACCUCACCAUCACCACCAAUGACAAUGACAUCACAGCCCCGACCUCACCAUCACUACCACCAAUGACAACGACAUCACAGCCCCAACCUCACCAUUACCACCACCAACAACAAUGACAUCAUGGCCCACAGGUGGCCAAACCCUUCAAUCACCUGCAAACCAGUGACCCUCACUUUUGCUUCUGAGACUUAUAAAAGCAAAAACAAAAAAACAGAUUCUCAAACCCAAA